Molecule: long non-coding RNA, 310 nt
Organism: Schistocerca nitens (vagrant locust)
Lineage: Eukaryota; Metazoa; Arthropoda; Insecta; Orthoptera; Acrididae
Exons: 2
Source: RefSeq, a predicted model, not a curated record
AAGUAAAAGUAAGUGUACUAAAGUAGGGUAUUUUGUCUAAUUUUUUUCAUGUACAUGUGGAGGAGAACCACCUCCAAGGGAACUGAUAGCAGUGCAUUUGCUUGCUAACUGCCACUUAGACCCGUUGAAGAUUUUCUGAAGUUGAAGUCCAAGAAAGAGAAGACAGCCAGAAGUAGCUUUGUGUACGUUUCAUGGCUUAUAGGCCUACUGGGGAAACUUGCCAUGUAAAAAAGCAAGUAAUGAAUUAAGCUUGGCAUCUCUAUGGUGAUGUGGAAAUCUGAGUGUUGUCAAUAAAGAAAUUAAUUCGGUG